Molecule: ribosomal RNA, 301 nt
Filed under: uncultured bacterium
Lineage: Bacteria
Description: partial 16S ribosomal RNA
Rfam family: Bacterial small subunit ribosomal RNA
Source: RNAcentral
CAGCAGCCACGGUAAUACGGAGGGUGCAAGCGUUAAUCGGAAUUACUGGGCGUAAAGCGUGCGUAGGCGGUUCGUUAAGUCUGUUGUGAAAGCCCCGGGCUCAACCUGGGAAUGGCAAUGGAUACUGGCGAGCUAGAGUGUGUCAGAGGAUGGUGGAAUUCCCGGUGUAGCGGUGAAAUGCGUAGAGAUCGGGAGGAACAUCAGUGGCGAAGGCGGCCAUCUGGGACAACACUGACGCUGAGGUACGAAAGCGUGGGGAGCAAACAGGAUUAGAUACCCCCGUAGUCCCUGUCUCUUAUAC